RNAcentral lists this transfer RNA (70 nucleotides) under Roseovarius sp. HI0049. RNAcentral's name for it is "tRNA-Thr". The record is from RNAcentral. Lineage: Bacteria; Pseudomonadati; Pseudomonadota; Alphaproteobacteria; Rhodobacterales; Roseobacteraceae.
GUCACAACUUGGGGUCAAAAACUGAUUUGUAAUCAGUAGGUCGGCGGUUCGAGUCCGUCUGGGGGCACCA